Schistosoma mattheei is the source of this 46-nucleotide non-coding RNA. Lineage: Eukaryota; Metazoa; Platyhelminthes; Trematoda; Strigeidida; Schistosomatidae. The record is from Rfam.
GCACUUCUGAGGAGUCCCACAAUAGGAUGAAACGGUCGUUCAGUGC